Oreochromis aureus is the source of this 199-nucleotide long non-coding RNA. RefSeq lists it as uncharacterized. The transcript is spliced from 3 exons. Lineage: Eukaryota; Metazoa; Chordata; Actinopteri; Cichliformes; Cichlidae. The record is from RefSeq and is a predicted model, not a curated record.
AACCACCGUGCUGCGUUGACCUGACCAAAGGCAAUGUGAGUGCUGACAUGGUGGGGGAAACUUAUCGUGAGCAGGCUGCAAGACAUCCCUGUGUGAAGGCUAUAAUUUUCAACACUAAAAAUGGACAACUUUGUGCUGAUCCAAACGCUCAGUGGGUCAAAGAUCUCACUGCCAGAAUGACGAAGGCGCACAAGUGAAG